GAUGAAGAACGUAGCAAAAUGCGAUAAGUAAUGUGAAUUGCAGAAUUCAGUGAAUCAUCGAAUCUUUGAACGCACAUUGCGCCCGCCAGUAUUCUGGCGGGCAUGCCUGUUCGAGCGUCAUUUCAACCCUCAAGCACAGCUUGGUGUUGGGACUCGCGUUAAUUCGCGUUCCUCAAAUUGAUUGGCGGUCACCUCGAGCUUCCAUAGCGUAGUAGUAAAACCCUCGUUACUGGUAAUCGUCGCGGCCACGCCGUUAAACCCCAACUUCUGAAUGUUGACCUCGGAUCAGGUAGGAAUACCCGCUGAACUUAAGCAUAUCAAUAAGCGGAGGA
This 332-nucleotide unclassified non-coding RNA is filed under the name soil metagenome. RNAcentral's name for it is "partial contains 5.8S ribosomal RNA, internal transcribed spacer 2, and large subunit ribosomal RNA". The stretch from base 1 to 120 matches the Rfam family "5.8S ribosomal RNA", at positions 35 to 154 of the family's 154-position model. The record is from RNAcentral.